Molecule: non-coding RNA, 336 nt
Organism: Cardiobacterium hominis ATCC 15826
Lineage: Bacteria; Pseudomonadati; Pseudomonadota; Gammaproteobacteria; Cardiobacteriales; Cardiobacteriaceae
Rfam family: Bacterial RNase P class A
About the family: Ribonuclease P (RNase P) is a ubiquitous endoribonuclease, found in archaea, bacteria and eukarya as well as chloroplasts and mitochondria. Its best characterised activity is the generation of mature 5'-ends of tRNAs by cleaving the 5'-leader elements of precursor-tRNAs.
Source: Rfam
UGAGUUCGCCAGGCAAUCGCUGAUCUUCGGAUUGGAGGAAAGUCCGGGCUCCACAGGGCGAAGUGCCGGGUAACGCCCGGGCGGCGCGAGCCGACGGAAAGUGCCACAGAAAAUAUACCGCCUGCAUGCAGGUAAGGGUGAAAUGGUGCGGUAAGAGCGCACCGCAAGGCUGGUAACAGGCUUGGCAGGGUAAACCCCACUCGGAGCAAGACCAAAUAGGGAAUCGUUACGGCGGCCCGCCGUGAUUCCGGGUAGGUUGCUAGAGGUAGCCGGUAACGGUUAUCGCAGAUGAAUGAUUGCCCUCGACAGAACCCGGCUUAUCGGCGAACUCUUUCU